Molecule: ribosomal RNA, 484 nt
Filed under: uncultured bacterium
Lineage: Bacteria
Description: partial 16S ribosomal RNA
Rfam family: Bacterial small subunit ribosomal RNA
Source: RNAcentral
AUUGAACGCUGGCGGCAGGCCUAACACAUGCAAGUCGAGCGGAUGAACGGAGCUUGCUCCUGGAUUCAGCGGCGGACGGGUGAGUAAUGCCUAGGAAUCUGCCUGGUAGUGGGGGAUAACGUCCGGAAACGGGCGCUAAUACCGCAUACGUCCUGAGGGAGAAAGUGGGGGAUCUUCGGACCUCACGCUAUCAGAUGAGCCUAGGUCGGAUUAGCUAGUUGGUGGGGUAAAGGCCUACCAAGGCGACGAUCCGUAACUGGUCUGAGAGGAUGAUCAGUCACACUGGAACUGAGACACGGUCCAGACUCCUACGGGAGGCAGCAGUGGGGAAUAUUGGACAAUGGGCGAAAGCCUGAUCCAGCCAUGCCGCGUGUGUGAAGAAGGUCUUCGGAUUGUAAAGCACUUUAAGUUGGGAGGAAGGGCAGUAAGUUAAUACCUUGCUGUUUUGACGUUACCAACAGAAUAAGCACCGGCUAACUUCGUG